UUGCUAUUGUCAACGGUUAUUGGUACAUCCAGUAAUUUAUUUAUUUAUUUUUUUUUUUUGUGUUUUUUACUAAACAGUCCCAAAGAUUUCGUAUCCCCAGACCGGAUCCGUGAACUGUCUGGAAGAGUGUCCAGUCUGGAGCUUCAGGUGGAAGUGGAGAGUCGUCAGAAAGAGGAGGCCAUGGCAGCAGUGGAGUCACUGAACGGUCGAGUGUCUGAGCUGGAGCUUCAGCUGCAGGAAGAGGCUCAGCACAAACAGGAGGCAGUGGAAAAAAGCCAAGCGGCCGAACAGAGGAGCGCAGAGUUGGAUGUGCAGCUCCGAACAGAAGCUCAGCACAAGCAGGAGGCCAUGGAAAAGGUGGAGAUGUUGGAGUUCAGAGUGGCAGACCUGGAGAGACGGCUGGAGGAGCAGGGACACACACAGAAGACAGACUCCGACCAGAUGACAAGAGAAUUUGCAGAAAGCGUCCAGUUGUGUGAGAGACUAUCUUCAGAGAAGGAUGCGAUCGUUGCUGAGCGGGACUACCUGAAGCAGGAGGUGGGGAUGUUCAUGGAGCAGAUUCAAAGACUGGAGAAGGAGAAGGCAGUGAUGUCACAGGAGCUGGUGGAGCAGAAGGAGACGGAGGAGUUCAAGAAGCUGGAGGAGGAGUUCAGGAAAGACCAGGAGGUGACUGUACUGACACAACACCAGUCACACAGUGGCAGAACACAUU
This 712-nucleotide long non-coding RNA is filed under the name Sphaeramia orbicularis (orbiculate cardinalfish). Its description in RNAcentral is "lncRNA (ENSSORG00005006953.1)". Lineage: Eukaryota; Metazoa; Chordata; Actinopteri; Kurtiformes; Apogonidae. The record is from RNAcentral.